Molecule: transfer RNA, 72 nt
Filed under: Mnais tenuis
Lineage: Eukaryota; Metazoa; Arthropoda; Insecta; Odonata; Calopterygidae
Description: tRNA-Tyr
Rfam family: tRNA
About the family: Transfer RNA (tRNA) molecules are approximately 80 nucleotides in length. Their secondary structure includes four short double-helical elements and three loops (D, anti-codon, and T loops). Further hydrogen bonds mediate the characteristic L-shaped molecular structure. tRNAs have two regions of fundamental functional importance: the anti-codon, which is responsible for specific mRNA codon recognition, and the 3' end, to which the tRNAs corresponding amino acid is attached (by aminoacyl-tRNA synthetases). tRNAs cope with the degeneracy of the genetic code in two manners: having more than one tRNA (with a specific anti-codon) for a particular amino acid; and 'wobble' base-pairing, i.e. permitting non-standard base-pairing at the 3rd anti-codon position.
Source: RNAcentral
GAUAGGGUGGUUGAGGAUUAGACAAUAGAUUGUAAAUCUAUUUACGGGGUUGAAUUUGCGCCCCCCUUAUCA